GGCGGACGGGUGAGUAACACGUUGGAACCUGCCCCAAAGUGAGGAAUAAGCCACCGAAAGGUGGUCUAAUACUUCAUAAUAUCCAUCUCGUAUGGAUUAAAGCUUUAUGCGCUUUGGGAGGGGCCUGCGUAACAUUAGCUUGUUGGUGAGGUAAAAGCUCACCAAGGGCUUCGAUGUUUAACUGGUUUGAGAGGAUGACCGGCCACACUGGGACUGAGACACGGCCCAGACUCCUACGGGAGGCAGCAGUGGGGAAUAUUGCGCAAUGGGCGAAAGCCUGACGCAGCGACGCCGCGUGAGGGAUGAAGGCCUUCGGGUUGUAAACCUCUUUCAGCAGGGACGAAGCGAAAGUGACGGUACCUGCAGAAGAAGCACCGGCUAACUACGUG
Molecule: ribosomal RNA, 389 nt
Filed under: uncultured bacterium
Lineage: Bacteria
Description: bacterial SSU rRNA
Rfam family: Bacterial small subunit ribosomal RNA
Source: RNAcentral